GAUGAAGAACGUAGCGAAAUGCGAUACGUAAUGUGAAGUGCAGAAUUCAGAGAAUCAUCGAAUCUUUGAACGCACAUUGCGCCCGCCAGCACUCUGGCGGGCAUGCCUGUUCGAGCGUCAUUUCAACCAUCAAGCCCCAGGCUUGCGUUGGAGCCCUGCGGCUGCCGCAGCCUCCUAAAAGCAGUGGCGGGCUCGCUAUCACACCGAGUGCAGUAGAUUACUCUUCGCUCAGGGCGUGCAGCGGGUUCCGGCCGUGAAACCCCCUACUUUUAAAGGUUGACCUCGGAUCAGGUAGGAAUACCCGCUGAACUUAAGCAUAUCAAUAAGCGGAGGA
RNAcentral lists this unclassified non-coding RNA (334 nucleotides) under soil metagenome. Its description in RNAcentral is "partial contains 5.8S ribosomal RNA, internal transcribed spacer 2, and large subunit ribosomal RNA". The stretch from base 1 to 120 matches the Rfam family "5.8S ribosomal RNA", at positions 35 to 154 of the family's 154-position model. The record is from RNAcentral.